UACGGGGGGAGCAAGCGUUGUUCGGAUUUACUGGGCGUAAAGGGCGCGUAGGCGGCCAGCACAAGUCAGUUGUGAAAUCUCCGAGCUUAACUCGGAACGGUCAACUGAUACUGUGCGGCUAGAGUGCAGAAGGGGCAACUGGAAUUCUUGGUGUAGCGGUGAAAUGCGUAGAUAUCAAGAGGAACACCUGCGGCGAAGGCGGGUUGCUGGGCUGACACUGACGCUGAGGCGCGAAAGCUAGGGGAGCAAACGGG
Molecule: ribosomal RNA, 254 nt
Filed under: uncultured bacterium
Lineage: Bacteria
Description: partial 16S ribosomal RNA
Rfam family: Bacterial small subunit ribosomal RNA
Source: RNAcentral